UUAUUUUCUUUUAGCACCAAGGACUGAUUAGAAUCGGUUCUGGUUAGUUAGCACUCAUUUCAGGAAAUAUUCGAAGGUUGAGAUCUUAAGGCUCGUGUUCAGAAACAUGCAUCACAGACAUUGAGAAUGAUUGCGUUUACUUUAUUGAAUAGAAUUUGCUGCCCCAGACUCCCAGAUUUUUAGUUUCAUGGAAGUCCAUGUCAAGCUGAACAUCAGUAGGUUUUAAAAUUCAACUCAAUUAAAACUUUAUUUCAAAAAUUUGGGGUCG
This 268-nucleotide unclassified non-coding RNA is filed under the name Hevea brasiliensis (rubber tree). The record is from RNAcentral. Lineage: Eukaryota; Viridiplantae; Streptophyta; Magnoliopsida; Malpighiales; Euphorbiaceae.